AUUGAACGCUGGCGGCAGGCCUAACACAUGCAAGUCGAACGGUAACAGGAAACAGCUUGCUGUUUCGCUGACGAGUGGCGGACGGGUGAGUAAUGUCUGGGAAACUGCCUGAUGGAGGGGGAUAACUACUGGAAACGGUAGCUAAUACCGCAUAACGUCGCAAGACCAAAGAGGGGGACCUUUGGGCCUCUUGCCAUCGGAUGUGCCCAGAUGGGAUUAGCUAGUAGGUGGGGUAACGGCUCACCUAGGCGACGAUCCCUAGCUGGACUGAGAGGAUGACCAGCCACACUGGAGCUGGGACGCGGUCCAGACUACUACGGGAGGCAGCAGUGGGGAAUAUUGGACAGUGGGCGCAAGCAUGAUGCAGCCAUGGCACGUGUAUGAAGAAGGCCUUCGGGUUGUAAAGUACUUUCAGCGGGGAUGAAGGGAGUAAAGUUAAUACCUAUGAACAUUGACGGUACCCGCAGAAGAAGCACCGGCUAACUCCGUG
RNAcentral lists this ribosomal RNA (490 nucleotides) under uncultured bacterium. RNAcentral's name for it is "partial 16S ribosomal RNA". It matches the Rfam family "Bacterial small subunit ribosomal RNA", at positions 30 to 507 of the family's 1533-position model. The record is from RNAcentral.